RNAcentral lists this ribosomal RNA (468 nucleotides) under uncultured bacterium. RNAcentral's name for it is "partial 16S ribosomal RNA". It matches the Rfam family "Bacterial small subunit ribosomal RNA", at positions 28 to 507 of the family's 1533-position model. The record is from RNAcentral.
GACGAACGCUGGCGGCGUGCUUAACACAUGCAAGUCGAACGGAAAGGCCCUGCUUUUGUGGGGUGCUCGAGUGGCGAACGGGUGAGUAACACGUGAGUAACCUGCCCUUGACUUUGGGAUAACUUCAGGAAACUGGGGCUAAUAUCGGAUAGGAGCUCCUGCUGCAUGGUGGGGGUUGGAAAGUUUCGGCGGUUGGGGAUGGACUCGCGGCUUAUCAGCUUGCUGGUGGGGUAGUGGCUUACCCAGGCUUUGACGGGUAGCCGGCCUGAGAGGGUGACCGGGCACAUUGGGACUGAGAUACGGCCCAGACUCCUACGGGAGGCAGCAGUGGGAAAUAUUGCACAAUGGGCGGAAGCCUGAUGCAGCAACGCCGCGUGCGGGAUGACGGCCUUCGGGUUGUAAACCGCUUUCGCCUGUGACGAAGCGUGAGUGACGGUAAUGGGUAAAGAAGCACCGGCUAACUACGUG